GACGAACGCUGGCGGCGUGCUUAACACAUGCAAGUCGAACGGAAAGGCCCUGCUUUUGUGGGGUGCUCGAGUGGCGAACGGGUGAGUAACACGUGAGUAACCUGCCCUUGACUUUGGGAUAACUUCAGGAAACUGGGGCUAAUACCGGAUAGGAGCUCCUGCUACAUGGUGGGGGUUGGAAAGUUUCGGCGGUUGGGGAUGGACUCGCGGCUUAUCAGCUUGUUGGUGGGGUAGUGGCUUACCAAGGCUUUGACGGGUAGCCGGCCUGAGAGGGUGACCGGCCACAUUGGGACUGAGAUACGGCCCAGACUCCUACGGGAGGCAGCAGUGGGGAAUAUUGCACAAUGGGCGGAAGCCUGAUGCAGCAACGCCGCGUGCGGGGUGACGGCCUUCGGGUUGUAAACCGCUUUCGCCUGUGACGAAGCGUGAGUGACGGUAAUGGGUAAAGAAGCACCGGCUAACUACGUG
This 468-nucleotide ribosomal RNA is filed under the name uncultured bacterium. RNAcentral describes it as "partial 16S ribosomal RNA". It matches the Rfam family "Bacterial small subunit ribosomal RNA", at positions 28 to 507 of the family's 1533-position model. The record is from RNAcentral.